RNAcentral lists this ribosomal RNA (251 nucleotides) under uncultured bacterium. RNAcentral's name for it is "partial small subunit ribosomal RNA". It matches the Rfam family "Bacterial small subunit ribosomal RNA", at positions 26 to 285 of the family's 1533-position model. The record is from RNAcentral.
AGGACGAACGCUGGCGGCGUGCUUAACACAUGCAAGUCGAGCGGAAAGGCCCUUCGGGGUACUCGAGCGGCGAACGGGUGAGUAACACGUGAGUAAUCUGCCCCUAGCUCUGGGAUAGCUCCGGGAAACCGGGAUUAAUACCAGAUACGACCACUUUAGACAUCUGCUGUGGUGGAAAGAAUUUCGGCUAGGGAUGAGCUCGCGGCCUAUCAGCUUGUGGUGAGGUACGCUCACCAAGGCGACGACGGGUA